CACGUGGGUAACCUGCCCAAGAGAUCGGGAUAACACCUGGAAACAGAUGCUAAUACCGGAUAACAACAGAUGAUGCCUAUCAACUGUUUAAAAGAUGGUUCUGCUAUCACUCUUGGAUGGACCUGCGGUGCAUUAGCUAGUUGGUAGGGUAACGGCCUACCAAGGCGAUGAUGCAUAGCCGAGUUGAGAGACUGAUCGGCCACAUUGGGACUGGGACACGGCCCAAACUCCUACGGGAGGCAGCAGUU
This 248-nucleotide ribosomal RNA is filed under the name uncultured Lactobacillus sp. RNAcentral describes it as "partial 16S ribosomal RNA". It matches the Rfam family "Bacterial small subunit ribosomal RNA", at positions 114 to 355 of the family's 1533-position model. Lineage: Bacteria; Bacillati; Bacillota; Bacilli; Lactobacillales; Lactobacillaceae. The record is from RNAcentral.